UUCAGUCACAAGAUCAUGAAGUCAAGAAUCAAUGAUAUCGGAUAGAUUAGAACAUCCUAUGUAUGCUCGAUAGAGGGGGUGAUUAAUCUCACAAUCAUUUAUGUGGGGACACUAAUACAAAGAUGUGGGUGCUCAUAAGAGGAUGAGUUUACUGAAAUGAUCUAUCAUGAGAACUAUAUCUUAUCAAAGUCUUACUUACAUGUCAAAAAAUGAUUCUCUUAGUGGGAGUAGUGUAU
Molecule: long non-coding RNA, 236 nt
Filed under: Elaeis guineensis (African oil palm)
Lineage: Eukaryota; Viridiplantae; Streptophyta; Magnoliopsida; Arecales; Arecaceae
Description: long non-coding RNA (EGUI_LNC036945)
Source: RNAcentral